This 253-nucleotide ribosomal RNA is filed under the name uncultured bacterium. Its description in RNAcentral is "partial 16S ribosomal RNA". It matches the Rfam family "Bacterial small subunit ribosomal RNA", at positions 524 to 776 of the family's 1533-position model. The record is from RNAcentral.
UACGAAGGGGGCUAGCGUUGCUCGGAAUUACUGGGCGUAAAGGGAGCGUAGGCGGACAUUUAAGUCAGGGGUGAAAUCCCAGAGCUCAACUCUGGAACUGCCUUUGAUACUGGGUGUCUUGAGUAUGAUAGAGGUAUGUGGAACUCCGAGUGUAGAGGUGAAAUUCGUAGAUAUUCGGAAGAACACCAGUGGCGAAGGCGACAUACUGGAUCAUUACUGACGCUGAGGCUCGAAAGCGUGGGGAGCAAACAGG